GUCCACGCCCUAAACGAUGUCUACUAGUUGUUGGUGGAGUAAAAUCCAUGAGUAACGCAGCUAACGCGUGAAGUAGACCGCCUGGGGAGUACGGUCGCAAGAUUAAAACUCAAAUGAAUUGACGGGGGCCCGCACAAGCGGUGGAUUAUGUGGAUUAAUUCGAUGCAACGCGAAAAAACCUUACCUGGCCUUGACAUGUAGCGAACUUUCCAGAGAUGGAUUGGUGCCCGAAAGGGAACGCUAACACAGGUGCUGCAUGGCUGUCGU
Molecule: ribosomal RNA, 267 nt
Filed under: uncultured bacterium
Lineage: Bacteria
Description: partial 16S ribosomal RNA
Rfam family: Bacterial small subunit ribosomal RNA
Source: RNAcentral